AUUACUCCUACGGGAGGCAGCAGUGGGGAAUCUUGCGCAACGGGCGAAAGCCUGACGCAGCAACGCCGCGUGGGGGACGAAGGCUUUCGGGUUGUAAACCCCUUUCAGCAGGAACGAAAUUGACGGUACCUGCAGAAGAAGCCCCGGCUAACUACGUGCCAGCAGCCGCGGUAAUAAU
RNAcentral lists this ribosomal RNA (178 nucleotides) under uncultured bacterium. RNAcentral's name for it is "partial 16S ribosomal RNA". It matches the Rfam family "Bacterial small subunit ribosomal RNA", at positions 332 to 526 of the family's 1533-position model. The record is from RNAcentral.